AAUUUUCUUUUUCAACCACAAGAUAAAUGGAUCUCUGAUCCGUUCUUCCCUAACAACAAAAAGACAUUUGCUGAAUAUUAUGUGAGAUUGGAUGUGAAAAGGAUAAAAAGAAAAACCAAUACAAAAGUAUCACAAAAGAAAAACUAUUUGUUCUUGAAACGUUACUUUUUUUUUUUGAGUUGAGAUAUCAUGGCCCGAUUAUUAUUACAGAGUUUUUUUUACCAUAAAAUUUAGCCUUCGGGGUCAACUCGUCAGUUCCUAUGAGGAAGACAACGCAAAGGAGGCUUGAGAAUUUGUUAAGGAAGGCGGCAAGGCC
RNAcentral lists this long non-coding RNA (316 nucleotides) under Olea europaea (common olive). RNAcentral's name for it is "long non-coding RNA (OEUR_LNC006742)". The record is from RNAcentral. Lineage: Eukaryota; Viridiplantae; Streptophyta; Magnoliopsida; Lamiales; Oleaceae.